GCUAAACGCGAAGAACCUUACCUACACUUGACAUACCUCUUGGGACUUUCAGAGAUGAUUGUUUCGGUUCGGCCGGGGAGGAUACAGGUGCUGCAUGGCUGUCGUCAGCUCGUGUCGUGAGAUGUUGGGUUAAGUCCCGCAACGAGCGCAACCCUUAUCGUAUGUUGCCAGCAUUUAGUUGGGCACUCAUGCGAGACUGCCGGUGAUAAGCCGGAGGAAGGCGGGGACGACGUCAAGUCAUCAUGGCCCUUACGUGUAGGGCUAGAAACGUGCUACAAUGGUGGUCACAAUGGGCAGCGAAGUCGUGAGGCUAAGCUAAUCCCAAAAGCCAUCUCAGUUCAGAUUGUAGUCUGCAACUCGACUACAUGAAGUUGGAAUCGCUAGUAAUCGCAAAUCAGCAUGUUGCGGUGAAUACGUUCCCGGGUCUUGUACACACCG
RNAcentral lists this ribosomal RNA (438 nucleotides) under uncultured bacterium. Its description in RNAcentral is "bacterial SSU rRNA". It matches the Rfam family "Bacterial small subunit ribosomal RNA", at positions 954 to 1392 of the family's 1533-position model. The record is from RNAcentral.